GAUGAAGAACGCAGCAAAAUGCGAUAAGUAAUGUGAAUUGCAGAAUUCAGUGAAUCAUCGAAUCUUUGAACGCACAUUGCGCCCGCUGGUAUUCCGGCGGGCAUGCCUGUUCGAGCGUCAUUUCAACCCUCAAGCCCCCGGGUUUGGUGUUGGGGAUCGGCUCUGCCCUUCUGGGCGGUGCCGCCCCCGAAAUACAUUGGCGGUCUCGCUGCAGCCUCCAUUGCGUAGUAGCUAACACCUCGCAACUGGAACGCGGCGCGGCCAUGCCGUAAAACCCCAACUUCUGAAUGUUGACCUCGGAUCAGGUAGGAAUACCCGCUGAACUUAAGCAUAUCAAUAAGCGGGA
This 346-nucleotide unclassified non-coding RNA is filed under the name soil metagenome. RNAcentral describes it as "partial contains 5.8S ribosomal RNA, internal transcribed spacer 2, and large subunit ribosomal RNA". The stretch from base 1 to 120 matches the Rfam family "5.8S ribosomal RNA", at positions 35 to 154 of the family's 154-position model. The record is from RNAcentral.